This 71-nucleotide transfer RNA is filed under the name Bos taurus (domestic cattle). It matches the Rfam family "tRNA". Rfam says of the family: Transfer RNA (tRNA) molecules are approximately 80 nucleotides in length. Their secondary structure includes four short double-helical elements and three loops (D, anti-codon, and T loops). The record is from Rfam by way of RNAcentral. Lineage: Eukaryota; Metazoa; Chordata; Mammalia; Artiodactyla; Bovidae. RNAcentral also lists the same sequence under 2 other names.
UCCCUGGUGGUCCAGUGGCUAAGACUGCAUUCCCAAUGCAAGGGGCCCAGGUUCGAUUCCUGGUCAGGGAA